UGGGGAUUGGUGUAACGGUAGCACGAGUGACUCUGACUCACUUAGUAAAGGUUCAAAUCCUUUAUCCCCAA
Molecule: transfer RNA, 71 nt
Filed under: Phycisphaerae bacterium
Lineage: Bacteria; Pseudomonadati; Planctomycetota; Phycisphaerae
Description: tRNA-Gln
Rfam family: tRNA
About the family: Transfer RNA (tRNA) molecules are approximately 80 nucleotides in length. Their secondary structure includes four short double-helical elements and three loops (D, anti-codon, and T loops). Further hydrogen bonds mediate the characteristic L-shaped molecular structure. tRNAs have two regions of fundamental functional importance: the anti-codon, which is responsible for specific mRNA codon recognition, and the 3' end, to which the tRNAs corresponding amino acid is attached (by aminoacyl-tRNA synthetases). tRNAs cope with the degeneracy of the genetic code in two manners: having more than one tRNA (with a specific anti-codon) for a particular amino acid; and 'wobble' base-pairing, i.e. permitting non-standard base-pairing at the 3rd anti-codon position.
Source: RNAcentral